CAGGACUCCUUUCAAGAGCCAGGAUCUAAAAUCCUUGGGGCUGAAGUAGGCAGGCAUAUAGGUUAAAAUUAAUUAGGUUUGUGAGCUGGAAGACCACGCCUUCGCCACGCCCCUGUGUGACCUCAUGUCCCUACCUGGCCACACCUGAGUGCCCACCAGCCAAUCAGGUUAAUUAACCACUCCCCUUUGGAAGCGGGUUAAAAGCCUGGGACAUGGUGUGUCUGGCCUUCUCUUCGGCCCUGGCCUCUUCCCAGGAUGCAGCUUGCUGUAACCCUGCACCUCCAGGGCACACGGCCUUUGGGCCACGUGCUCUAGGCUUCCUGGCCUAGAUACUCCUCCAUGUGGCUGGUUCCUGGUGCUCGGAAAGGCCCUUGUCUUCCAGCCUGGUGCCCUCCUUGUUUGUCCUCUCCAUCACGGGACUCUGUCCGUAUCCUCUGGGCACCACAGGCCUUGUGCAUCCCAGGGUCCUGGCCUAUACCCAACCAUGUCUUUGUUAUCACAGAGAAGUCUUAAAGAGACCGGAUUUCCUUCUGUUCUAUUGUGUCCCCGUGAACGCCUUUGCAAUUGAAAAGGAGGCCACCGAGGGUGGCGGGAAGGGAGUCAGCAGAAGUCACACAAAGUGAGAGGAAGAUGGCCCAAAUCCAUGGGCCCCUGCACCCACAUGUGGGAGACCUGGAUGAAGCUCCUGGCUCGACUUCAGCCUGGCCUAGACCCAGCCAUUGUGGCCAUUUAUGGAAUGAACCACCAGAUGGAAGAUUUUCUGUGUCUCUCCCUCUCUCUGACUUUCAAAUAAAUAAAUCUAUAAUUUAAAGAUUCCUGGAAAAAAUGGAAUUA
This is a long non-coding RNA of Oryctolagus cuniculus (rabbit), 834 nucleotides long. RefSeq lists it as uncharacterized. NCBI's taxonomy places the organism in Eukaryota, Metazoa, Chordata, Mammalia, Lagomorpha, Leporidae. The record is from RefSeq and is a predicted model, not a curated record.